This is a long non-coding RNA of Dromaius novaehollandiae (emu), 1261 nucleotides long. RefSeq lists it as uncharacterized. The transcript is spliced from 3 exons. The record is from RefSeq and is a predicted model, not a curated record. Lineage: Eukaryota; Metazoa; Chordata; Aves; Casuariiformes; Dromaiidae.
CCAGGGGGAGCCGUGAGGGGGCGCGGUGGCGGCGGCGGUCGGGGGGCGGCUCGGGCGCGGUCAUGGCGGCGCGGAGCCCCGCGCAGGUGCUGCUGACGUUUGGUGACAUCUCGGUCUACUUUUCGGAGUCAGAGUGGGGGACGCGGGACAGAAGGACCUUUACGAGACCCGGGUGACGGGGAGCUGCGAAUUGCUGGCCCCUGGGUAAGGAGACGUCUGCAGGGACAUCCGCGCCCCGUUGUCAGCUGCUGUGACGGCUGCUGUGAGCCCGUCGGCCCGGAUCCGCGCGCACCUCACGCCUGGGUGCUGCAGCAGGGCUUCGGUGCGACGCCAGACCUUUCGGCUGUUAGUCCUCCAAGCCGUGUUCAAGCUGGUGGUGGAUACAGUGUCUGGGUGAGGUGUGGGCAGUCUCGUCCAGGGGAUGACGGACAUCUGUGCCGUCCCCACGCUGGUGGCUCGCAGGGCCGGACGCUCAGCUCCGCGCGUCCUCCCUCCUGCGGCACCCCGGGACGCGCCGCCCUUCAGCCCCGAGGGACGGCUGCGUCUGGCCGCACGGUCCCGGCCUCCCGGGCGGAGGGCUCGGGGGAGGCAGGAGCCGGCCAGCGGGCCGGGGAUUGGCCUGGCAGCACUGGAGGUUAGUGGGAAGGCAGCGCCCUGCAGCCGGCUUCCUCCCUGCCGGAGCUCCUCCCCUCGCAGGGAUGGGUCUGCGCAUCCCCCGGGAGCCCCCCGGGGAGCAUUCCCUGCUCCUUGCCUGCCCCGGAGCCCGGAGCCGAGGUGGGAAGCCCCUCGCGCUCGCACGUUACGGAGGUUUCCUGCGGGUGAACAACCUGCUCCCCCUGCCCGUCCUCUGCCCCGCGCAGGUUGCGGAGCCCCCGUCGCGCGUCGCGACGGAGCGCGUGUCCCGGAGCUGCCUCCUGGGCGGGAGGAGAGGACGGUCCCUGUGCGCAGGGAGACGCCGAGGAGCGAGAUACCCCCACGAACGACACCAGCGCGGCGACGGGGGUCUGCGAUGGCUCGGGAAGCGCCGGGAGGAUCCGUCUGCGGACACCUCUGUCCCCUCCCCGGCACGUUCCCCAGCUGAAGGCUCCAGCUGAAGACGGCCACGCCACCGAGGCAGGACAGGGGUGACGUGAGCCCGGAGCCGCGCGGGGCGUCACCGGCAGAGCCCCUUCCCCGCGUCGGGAGCCCGGUGACGUGCCGGUUCUCGCCCCGUGUGUUUGUACCUUGUUAACUGUUCGCAAUAAAUCUGUCUUUUGCUUAA